Molecule: long non-coding RNA, 354 nt
Filed under: Brassica napus (rape)
Lineage: Eukaryota; Viridiplantae; Streptophyta; Magnoliopsida; Brassicales; Brassicaceae
Description: long non-coding RNA (BNAP_LNC004908)
Source: RNAcentral
AAACUGAAUCAUAUAAUAUAUAAUUUACAGUCCUGUAUAUCUCCAAUAAUGUGAAACAUUGUGGAUAGAUUUCACAGCUGUCGAUGGGACUUUAAAAACUUGUGGGGAUACUGAUACUAUUAGUGUUGAUUUUACAGAUAACCAUUUCUGUCACAUUUAUCAUGACUCCUAAUCAGUCUCAAAUAUCUCGCACCAUCUCUAAUGUAUUACUUCAUAUUUUACUUUAGAAUAAUGCAAUACUAAAAUAUAGUAGGUUUUAUUCUAAUAUAUUACUUUAUUUUUUUACUCUAAAAAUAAAUAUUCCAAAAAAAUUCUAUCUUUAUUUAAUUAAUAAUUGUUACUAACACCUUCUAC